This 30-nucleotide small RNA is filed under the name Bombyx mori (domestic silkworm). RNAcentral describes it as "ovarian small RNA-37309". Lineage: Eukaryota; Metazoa; Arthropoda; Insecta; Lepidoptera; Bombycidae. The record is from RNAcentral.
UUCCUCAUUACUGAGGGUCGCGCGCCCACC